UUCACAAGUCAUUGGAGAAAUUCUUAUCCUUGAUUCCAUUUCUCAUAUCCACUGAGGAGAUCAAACUUGUUGAAGUUGAUUGGGGUAGAGAAUUGGUUGAUGACUUUGUUCCUUCGAAACUCAGAGUUUUGACUGGAUUUCUUCUCAGAGAAAUCAAAGAUUUUUGGCAAGUUGCCUUAUUGGCUCUUCCUUGUUACAUCCCACUGACGCUGACCAUACUGAUGAUAUUCUAAACAAGAACUUUCAACUGGACAAAAGAAGAGAUCUAUUUGAGGUGGUUUAGAAUUCGAUUACGAAACUAGGUCUUGAGAAAGUGUGGGAUGUGAAACCUUCGGUUAAUGGGAAAGAUAUUAUGAAUGUUUUGCAGCUUAAAUCCAGAGGGCCACUUGUUAGGGAGUGGCAACAAAAACUGCUUGCAUGGCAGCUUGCCCACCCCUCUGGGACUGGGGAGGGCUGCCUUGACUGGAUGAAGCAAACCCACUCAAAGUGUGAAGCUGGAGCCCAGCAAUUCAGUUGAUUAAUCUAAAGCUAUAGUUAGCAAUAGUUAUUUUUGAUGAUACAUUUACUUUUUGAGAUAUUGAGGCUGGAUAACAUUUUGAAGCCCAUGAACAUCCAUGUGUUCUAGAUGCCAAAGUUUAUUAAAUUUGCAGCGUCGGUUGGAGUCAUUUUACGGCAAGGAGGUUUUAUCUUCCAGUGGGAGAAAGGAGGACUGGGAAAGAGAAAGAUUCAGGUUAAUGUUUUGAAUUAACCCUAAAUUAUAUUAGAGAUUGGCAGUUUAGAAUAUACAUUGAUUUUGUAGUGUCUAGUUUUACAAGCCACCUCAAUACAGCUUUGUGUCCGUAAAAGAUUAUAGCUUUUAUCGAUGAUGAAGUUAGGAUAGGAGAUGAGAUUUCACCAUCACUAUUGAAGGCAAAUGAAGGAUCAAAGAUUUCAAUAAUUUUCUCUAAAGGUUAUGCUUCUCCUACGUGGUGCCUCCUCAUAUGCAAGAGAAUGUAGGGUCAGAUUGUGAUACUAGUUUUCUAUCAUAUAGAUCCUUCAGAUGUAAGAAAGCAAACCGGGACUUUUGGGGAUGCAUUUGCUAAGCAUGAAGUACAAUAUAGGCCGAGUCAAGAGUUGCAGAUAUGGAUGAAUGCUUUUUGACAGAUCAAUAGCAUUGACGAUUCUUAUCUGUCAAAGCAAACCUUUACAUUCUAACUUGAUGCUUGUUACAAAUUCGGAGGCUUGGUUUUUCUCCUUCUUUUGUACUUCAUAUAAAAUAACCUUGUAAUGGAAGAUUUUUUUU
Molecule: long non-coding RNA, 1282 nt
Organism: Pistacia vera
Lineage: Eukaryota; Viridiplantae; Streptophyta; Magnoliopsida; Sapindales; Anacardiaceae
Exons: 4
Source: RefSeq, a predicted model, not a curated record